RNAcentral lists this ribosomal RNA (262 nucleotides) under uncultured bacterium. RNAcentral describes it as "partial 16S ribosomal RNA". It matches the Rfam family "Bacterial small subunit ribosomal RNA", at positions 793 to 1055 of the family's 1533-position model. The record is from RNAcentral.
GUCCACGCCCUAACGAUGUCAACUAGUUGUUGGUAGAGUAAAUCUAUGAGUAACGCAGCUAACGCGUGAAGUUGACCGCCUGGGGAGUACGAUCGCAAGAUUAAACUCAAAUGAAUUGACGGGGCCCGCACAAGCGGUGGAUUAUGUGGAUUAAUUCGAUGCAACGCGAAAACCUUAACCUGGCCUUGACAUGUACCGAAUUUACCAGAGAUGGUUUAGUGCUCGAAAGAGAACGGUAACACAGGUGCUGCAUGGCUGUCGU